Molecule: RNA transcript, 3727 nt
Organism: Dermochelys coriacea (leatherback sea turtle)
Lineage: Eukaryota; Metazoa; Chordata; Testudines; Dermochelyidae
Gene: BANP
Gene name: BTG3 associated nuclear protein
Exons: 19
Source: RefSeq, a predicted model, not a curated record
UAAGGGCGGUUGCGAGGAGGCUUCUCUGGGCGGCUGCGCAGCCUCUCGGGGAGGACGGGGGAAGCGGCGCGAGCGGCGCGGCGGCGCCUGCGCAGUGAGGACGCGGAGAUCUCUCGCGAGGAAGGACGCCAUUAUCGCAGCCGCUCGACAAACACCACGAGAAUUCGCCACCACACACGGGUUAUACGAAUUGGCAGACCUUAGAGUGUGAAUUUGGGGCCUUCCGUGGUAUUUGAGCGAAUAUUGUUGCCUGAUUCUGAAUGAUGACAGAACAGGAUUUGGCAGAUGUGGUUCAAAUUGCAGUGGAAGACUUGAACCCAGAUCAUCCAGUUGUAUUGGAGAAUCAUGAGGUGACAGAUGAAGAUGUGGAGCCUGCUCUGAAACGCCAACGGAUAGAAAUUAACUGCCAGGAUCCCUCUAUUAAGUCGUUCCUAUAUUCCAUUAACCAGACAAUAUGCCUACGACUGGAUAGCAUUGAGGCAAAGCUGCUGGCACUAGAGGCUACCUGCAAAUCAUUGGAAGAGAAAUUGGACCUCGUCAUGAACAAACAGCAUAGCCCUAUCCAAGUCCCCAUGGUGGCGGGUUCUCCCCUUGGUGCUACACAGACGUGCAAUAAAGUGCGAUGUGUUGUCCCACAGACUACAGUUAUACUGAACAAUGAUCGGCAGAAUUCAAUAGUAGCCAAGAUGGUUGGGCAGGAAGAGCCAUUGAGCAGAACAGCGGAUUCUCUGGAAAAUAUCCUUAGCAAUGCUGUUCCGGGUCGUAGACAGAACACCAUUGUGGUGAAGGUGCCAGGGCACGACGACAGCCACAAUGAAGAUGGAGAGAGUGGGUCUGAGGCCAGUGACUCGGUUUCCAACAGUGGCCAGUUAGGAAGCCAAAGUAUUGGGAACAAUGUUACUCUUAUUACACUGAACUCUGAAGAGGAUUACCCCAAUGGGACAUGGCUUGGAGAUGAAAACAAUCCUGAGAUGCGAGUCCGUUGCCCCAUCACCCCAGCUGACAUGCUGCAUAUCAGCACCAACUGCCGCACAGCUGAGAAGAUGGCACUGACGUUGCUAGAUUACCUCUUCCACCGGGAAAUUCAGGCCAUCUCCAAUCUUUCAGGGCAAGGGAAGCAUGGGAAGAAGCAGCUUGAUCCACUCAUGAUUUAUGGUAUUCGCUGUCACCUUUUCUAUAAAUUUGGAAUUACAGAAUCUGACUGGUACCGGAUCAAGCAGAGCAUAGACUCCAAAUGCCGGACAGCUUGGCGGCGAAAACAGCGAGGCCAGAGUCUUGCGGUGAAAAGUUUUUCCAGGAGAACGCCUUCCUCUUCAUCUUAUAGUGGCUCAGCCACAAAUCAGUUUCCCAUGAUGCAUACAGAAGACAAGAAUGUUCGAGAGGGUACUCAAAGCACAGUGUCAGCAUCUAAUGAAAUCCAGCCGAACCAGCCACAGGCCCUGCACUAUGCACUGGCUAAUGCUCAGCAGGUUCAAAUCCAUCAAAUAGGAGAAGAUGGCCAAGUCCAAGUAAUCCCACAGGGUCACCUCCACAUAGCCCAGGUGCCUCAAGGGGAGCAGGUCCAAAUCACACAGGACAGCGAGGGUAAUCUGCAGAUACAUCAGGUUCAUGUCGGUCAAGAUGGGCAGGUGUUACACGGUGCUCAGUUGAUAGCUGUUGCCUCUGCAGAUCCUGCAUCUGGGGGCGUAGAUGGAUCCCCACUCCAAGGGAGUGAUAUCCAGGUCCAAUAUGUCCAGCUGGCACCAGUGACAGACCACGCUGCUACUAAUCAAAGCACAGAUUCCCUUCAAUCAACUAUCCAGCCAGAAAUGCAGAUAGAACAUGGAGCAAUCCAGAUCCAGUAAAGCAGGAACUGUGGAAGCUUCAUAGAUCCAGAUGCCAGUGACCACAGUCAGAAGCUAAAGGCUGCUGCCCAUGUACAACACCAGGAGAAAGGAUGUGACCAUCAGACUAACAGACAUUUUCAUUUACAUCUCCUAUACUACAGUUAUCCAGUACACUGGAAAAACCCCAGAACCUCAUCUAGUUUUCAGGCCCUCCGGAUUUGUGGCUUGGCGGCUCUCGCUUCCUGAGGACUUCACAGCUUGUCUCGAGACCCUGUGAGGGGUAUGGAUCCAUCCUGGAGGGCUCAGGUGGCCUAUUGAUUCCAAGCACCGAUUCCAUCCUGAAUGAAGUCCUCUCCAGAAGUCCUGAACCAGAACUUGCUUUCUGCAUCAGGUGUUGGACAUGGGUUGGUCUUGUCUGCACCAGUGGCUAAGCCUGACUGUAUUCUACCAUGUUUGGAGGAAGCAAGUAGCUUUGUUUGGCAUCACAUUGCAACUACUGACAUGGCCUUAGAAGUGGAACAUGCAAGGCAGAGCGGUAUGACUUGACUUUUGGGAAGAAACAGAGGGAAGCUCAGAAUGGAUGGAAUUCAAUGGUGACAAGUGCUAAGUAAUCCCUCCUCAGAGGAAAUAAUUGAAUUGCUCCUACACUUCUCUGUGUUCUAAAUGUACUGGAUCAACUCAGGAGUAAGCCCUAGAUUUCUUUUUGUGGACUGCUCAGUGAAGAUCUCAGCUCAGUGGACAGCAAUGGUAGCAGAGAAAAAAGAAAUGGGGAACGAAGAGACAGAGAGAUUAAGUGACUGUCCCAUGGUCACACAAGGAGUCUGUGGCAGAACCAGGAACUGAAUCCAGAUCUUCUCAGUCCCAUUCCAGUGUCUGAAGUGGGUUCUAUUUCAGUUGUCCAAGACAAGUCUGAUUCUUAGAAUUCCGGGCUGGCUCUGAAUUCUCCUGAAGUCUGGUAAGAUGUUUGUGCUUCCAAGAGUUUGGAAAGAUCAAAGCUAAUUGUUACCAAAAAUGUAACCAGGUUUGACCAAAGCAGUGGCACACUUCAAGAAGGGUAGCUUUUAGAGGCUGACCUCGUUCAAUCUCAGUGACAUUCAUCUUUUGCCUCCCAAUGCAGCUGAACCAUGUGGGUGUCCCGCUCACUUUACACCUUGUUUUUCUUUAAUCCUAGACUCAUGGAAAUGUAGGACUGGAAAGGACAUUGAGAGGUCAUCUAGCCCAGCCCCCUGCCCUGAAGCAGGACCAAGUAAACCUAGACCAUUCCUGACAGGUGUUUGUCCAACCUGUUCUUAAAAAACUCCAGUGAUGGGGAUUCCACAACCUCCCUUGGAAGCCUGUUCCAUCAUGGCUAGCCCUGUCUCGAGCAUUGCCGAUGGCUGCUCCAUCUCACUAUAGGACAACCAUUCACUGCUAUUGUUGUUUUUCCAGUAUAGUUGAUUGUAGAAAUGACCGACAAUUUCAUGGUGACUUACAUGGGAGAUCACUCUCGGAGAGCUGUAGGGCAGAGGAGAGGAAUAAAGAAUAGCUGAGCCUUCCUUGGGGAAAAUGUCAGAAAUUUCUAAGCCAUCCUGUACAUUGCAUCCACUGGAGUUCUCUUCCUCAUGCCUUGUUACAAAGGACAUUUUCAUGAACAAAGUGUGUCUUGUUUUGCCCUUUGCGUACCGUACAGCCACCGCUAAUGGCAAUGGGGAAUUAUUGGAUAUAAAUCAGGGCUGAAUUUCACUCAGGGCCAUUGUUUCUUUGGCGUUUCUGCUUAUUCCCUACCUGAAGUCAUAAUCCUCGUCUGUCAGGUUGUCGUCAUGUCCUCAGUAAUGUAAUAUUUUGAUUGUUUUGUGUUGAAAUGACUGCGUUGAAAUGUUUUGAUGUAGUAUUCUAGUCUACAUUAUAAUCCAAUACAAAAU